GGCCCGGCUUUGCCCCCGCGCGCAGGUGCCUCCCUCUGCUUCCCGCCGGGCUCCUUCCCUGCUCUGCCCCGGCCGCGGGCGCCCCGAGCCAAGCGCUGCUGUGGCCCCGCAGCGGGCGGCUGCCGGUGGGGCGCCCGCCAGGCCGGUGGCCUGCGCUUAGCCCCACGCCCUUCCCGGCCGGGAUCGGUUCGGCCCCUCUGCAAAACUUUCCCCGGCCUGUCCCCCCAGCUGGGGCCCGGGCACCCUCCGACUUGUCGCCUCCCCAGCUGACUCGCCCCAUUGGAGCCAAUUGCCGCUGGUGGCCGAACUCAGCGGCACCUGGCUGGUUCCCGGGGACACGGGGCCCGCUGGCUGCCCUGCCCCGCGCGCCCUUACCAAGGAAUACGACACACUGCGCCUGCAACCCCCCGGGGUCUCCCGCUGCGCGCGGGGGCAGCUUCUCGGGCGCGAGGGAUGCAGCCACUUAGCGGCGGAUCCUGUUCUGCGCCUUCCCGAUGCCUCGCUGGUGUCCGGCCUGCGCUGCUCUAAGCCCGGGCUAGCGAGCAAGGAACCUGUCCAUUCUUAACCUCUCUGUUCACCCCACUUUUAGAGGCAAGCCUCGUGUUGCGGUCCUGGCUCUGAGUUUGGCUGUGUGCGCGCUUUCUGGUUUACGAGUUGGGGCUAAACGGGCGCUGUCUGUAAUGGCCCUCUCGCCCUCUCUCUCGGUGGCUUUGGCCUUGCGAUGUAAAGCAGGAGGGCAGGAUCUUGUGGGAUGGAGACCCUCGGGGCAUUGGUGGGUGCGCAGUUAACCCUAUGUGCAUCGAGAGGUGAAUAACCUUUGGCGGAGGAUCAAUUGCACAGAUAGGGGAGGGGAGAGCUUGGCUCGGAUAAAACCUGAGUAAGAAGUCCAUCUAAAAUUCAGUUCAGCCUUUAUCUGGCCUGGUUCUGCGCCUGGCGCUCUGGUUUAGUGAAAGUACUGAAGCGUUGUGAAAGGAGCUAUGACUUGUGAAAAUAGUGGCACUAUCACAAGACCUUUGGCUUCGCUCUCCCAGAACAAAGAAGCCCUCCUGACUUCUGCUAAGUGUCUGACUCUCUGCUUGAAAAGUUAAAGCAAAGGCCCCUCCCCAGUUAUUAGUGAUCUGCACACGUGCAAAAACUUGGGGUAGGGUUAAUUCUCCAAAGCAGGGGCUUUUAUGGACUCCGAAUGAAUAGAUUACUCCGCUCUUCGCUACUUUGUGUUUAGGUUAGUCAAUCUGUAUCAACCCUAUCUUUUAAAUCCGGGAAAUGGUGGUGGUUUGCGAUACUAAGAAUCUGUGAGAACUUCUAGGGUUUAUGACAGAAUAGCAGGGACUUGUCCGUCCUCAGUCUGGAGUUGUUUGCAGCAAUGUUGUAGCCCUGCUGAUCCCACGGUAUGAAAGAGACUAGGCAGAUGGCCGAAUUGGUCCAUAACAAGAUAGUACCUCGCCUACCGAGUCUGUCCUGACUGUCAUACGAAGAUCCCUGCAAAAUAGGGACCGGUCUGGAGGCCUGGUGUGCUCCUAAUGACCUAAAACAAAAAAGGAGUACUUGUGGCACCUUAGAGACUAACAAAUUUAUUUGAG
This is a long non-coding RNA of Chelonia mydas (Green sea turtle), 1580 nucleotides long. RefSeq lists it as uncharacterized. The transcript is spliced from 3 exons. The record is from RefSeq and is a predicted model, not a curated record. Lineage: Eukaryota; Metazoa; Chordata; Testudines; Cheloniidae.